RNAcentral lists this ribosomal RNA (161 nucleotides) under uncultured bacterium. RNAcentral's name for it is "partial 16S ribosomal RNA". The record is from RNAcentral.
GCACGAGAUUAGCCAGUGCUUUCUCUAAUGGUACCGUCAUCCCCCACCUGUAUUAGAGGUGGAGAUUUCUUCCCACUUAACAGAAGUUUACAAUCCGAAGACCUUCAUCCUUCACGCGGCGUCGCUGCUUCAGGCUUUCGCCCAUUGAGCAAGAUUCCUCA